This 519-nucleotide ribosomal RNA is filed under the name uncultured bacterium. Its description in RNAcentral is "bacterial SSU rRNA". It matches the Rfam family "Bacterial small subunit ribosomal RNA", at positions 8 to 502 of the family's 1533-position model. The record is from RNAcentral.
AGAGUUUGAUCCUGGCUCAGAACGAACACUGGCGGCGUGGAUUAGGCAUGCAAGUCGAACGAGAACGUUCUCUUCGGAGAACUAGUACAGUGGCGAACGGGUGAGUAACGGGUGGAAAACCUGCCCUUCAAUGGGGGAUAACAGUUCUAACGAGCUGCUAAUACCGCAUACGACCUUCGGACCGCAUGGUUUGAAGGUGAAAGGUGGCCUCUCUAUAGAAGCUGCCGUUGAAGGAUGGUUCCGCCUCCCAUUAGCUUGUUGGUGGGGUAAUGGCCUACCAAGGCGACGAUGGGUAGCCGGCCUGAGAGGGUGUCCGGCCACACUGGGACUGAGAUACGGCCCAGACUCCUACGGGAGGCAGCAGUCGAGAAGCUUCCGCAAUGGGGGAAACCCUGACGGAGCGACGCCGCGUGAGUGAAGAAGGCCCUAUGGGUUGUAAAACUCUGUCAGAUUGGGAAGAAAGUUCUGCGGUUAAUACCCGUAGAGUUUGACGGUACCAUCAGAGAAGCACCGCUAACU